RNAcentral lists this small RNA (458 nucleotides) under Pan troglodytes (chimpanzee). RNAcentral describes it as "processed transcript". Lineage: Eukaryota; Metazoa; Chordata; Mammalia; Primates; Hominidae. The record is from RNAcentral.
ACAACCGGGGCGCAGCGGGAGGCAUGGAGGAAACGCUCCAGCAGCCCAACCUCGCCAGGGCACCGCGCAGGAGAGGCGCGGCCUCAGGCAGGCCUGGGUCCAGCCCGGGCUUACCCCUCAUCGGCUGUGAGAUCCUGCCCCUUCCCCUCUCUGGCGUCCACUCUCUUAUCUGGAAUACUGGGACAGCGACCCUCCCACAGAGGAAAACGCCGCGUGCUGGCCGGGAGGACAGGGCCCAUCUUUGGCAGCUCUGAUCGCCCACGCCAGGAGCUCCUCAGGCACCAGCUGCCUGGUGCUCACAGGCGGGCAUCAAGAGAGGACCAUCAUUCCCCAUUUUACAGAUGGACAAACCAAGGCCACCUUCUCCUUCAUCACCUCAGUCUCGACACAGUUCCAGGGAUGCCAGGGAGAAAGGCAGCUGUAGCCCAGGGCGAGGCUGAGAUGGAGCAAGAAGGCAG